UUUUUUUUUUCAAUCUUGCUCUCACCUUGUACUGCAGGUCCAGCAGAACUUCUGUGAUGGCCUUUAGACCCAGAUGCUCCUUCCCAAUCUGAUGAACACACAACACAUUGCAGGUUUCAGUGGGAGGAAGCCCAAACCAAAGGAGCCGUCAGAAACAGAAUGUGUGAGGACGACUGUUAAAACUGUUGCCAAAGCAGGUUGGGCCAUCCGGGAUGAAACCAAAAGCUCCUGCACUGUUCUGCUCAGUGGUCUGCUCACCUCUCCAAACCUGGGCCUGCUGCGAAGAGUUUGUUUCUUUGUUUCUUUGCCUUUGUCCGUAUCAGCCUGUGUCUGUGUUUUCAUUGGCUCAUUUGUGAUCAGAUAGCCCUUUUGUAGCAGCAAAAAAUGAUAUCAUAUAAGCUAUUAUAAUGAGUCAAAGUGGGGAUUUGGUCUUCCCCCUUUGAAUAUAGAAUCUAAUCCAAAUUCUCUCCAUACUGAAACAGUGUAUGUCUUCAGUCUUUUUUACCUGACAAACAUAAACAUAUGUGCUGGGACACACUGUUGAGCCUUCUCAGUGUCAAGGGCUCAAAUUCAACCAAACACUGGUUACUGUAGAUUUAAACCUUACUCUAGGCUUGCUGUGGUGGUCGAUUACAUUGGUGUUACACUGUGGUCGGGUUUAUACCAAUUACAUUACUUGGCCACUGCCUCCAGACCAGGAUUUCAAGACAGCUCUGAUAUAUUGAAUCAGAGAUGAUGUCACCGAUCAGAUGACUCUGCAGAGUUAAACAUCAUUUAACAUGGCUUCAGGGCUUCAAUAAGAAUGCUCAUAAAACUGUACCUUAGUACAUACUUUGACUGUGUAUUGACAACUUAUACCUGUUAUAAUGUUGACAGGACAGUAGAAACAGUGUAGAUGUUAAAUGUUAAAUGUCGGACUAAUGGGAGGGGGGAUGGGAUUAUUAUAUUUCAUAUCUUGUUUAUGUAAUCUAUGUAUCUCUUGUCUGACUAUUUCCAAGAAUACAAAAACAAGUUUAAUCAAAAACCAAUAAAACUAAUCAUCUUUGUCCUGAAAAGAGUUCAAUGAUAUAUUUGGUCAAAUGUAUGUGUUAAACUAAUUUCGAUCUCUGUUCAGUCGUUACAUUUUGAGGGUCUGGCCACUAUGGCAGCCUUCGUGUUCUUG
This is a long non-coding RNA of Acanthopagrus latus (yellowfin seabream), 1162 nucleotides long. RefSeq lists it as uncharacterized. Lineage: Eukaryota; Metazoa; Chordata; Actinopteri; Spariformes; Sparidae. The record is from RefSeq and is a predicted model, not a curated record. The transcript has 3 exons.